AAGUUCCCUCGGGAAACACCGCGGAGCCACUAUCGGAGUCUGCAAUGACUCUUUAUCGCUCUGAGGAAAGUCCCUGGACCCGUGGCAGAAAGUGCCGUAGCUUUUAGCUAUCAGCCUCCGUCGUCUUCGCGAAUUUCAGGAGAGGAAGCUUUGGCCGAUCCUUCGCAAUGGGCGUGAGAGUGUUUGUCAAAGUAAAGUAAUGUGUGUUGAAACGUUUCUGCUCUUCUGAAAAGAAACAGCAACGUUUGAACCGAACAGGGCUUAUCGUACGAGGAAACU
Trachymyrmex cornetzi is the source of this 279-nucleotide non-coding RNA. The record is from Rfam. NCBI's taxonomy places the organism in Eukaryota, Metazoa, Arthropoda, Insecta, Hymenoptera, Formicidae.